Molecule: long non-coding RNA, 317 nt
Organism: Sinocyclocheilus rhinocerous
Lineage: Eukaryota; Metazoa; Chordata; Actinopteri; Cypriniformes; Cyprinidae
Exons: 4
Source: RefSeq, a predicted model, not a curated record
CGGCAAGAUGGCGGCCGGCGGAGCGGCAGGUCCCCAGAUGCCACGCGGUUUCUCGCUGUUCUGCUGUUUGCUCGGUAAAAACUACACUGUUCUCAGUGGCGUGCGAUGUGAACUGUUGGAUCCUGAAGGAUGAAAAAUUCUUAGCCCGACCGUAGCCCACGUGUGUUUAUCCACAAGUUCUGUGCAGAGCUUCUUACAGUCCCAUCUGUUCACAAACCGGGAAGAAGUGAACUGUUCCGCUGGAGAACUUUCUGCCCACGCAGCUUUGUCACCAGUCCGCUGCGGUCCUGGGGCCGGUUGGUUGCACCAUCUCGGCG